This 438-nucleotide ribosomal RNA is filed under the name uncultured Roseovarius sp. RNAcentral's name for it is "bacterial SSU rRNA". It matches the Rfam family "Bacterial small subunit ribosomal RNA", at positions 97 to 570 of the family's 1533-position model. The record is from RNAcentral. Lineage: Bacteria; Pseudomonadati; Pseudomonadota; Alphaproteobacteria; Rhodobacterales; Roseobacteraceae.
GGCGGACGGGUUAGUAACGCGUGGGAACGUACCCAGAUCUAAGGAAUAGCCACUGGGAACGGUGAGUAAUACCUUAUACGCCCUUCGGGGGAAAGAUUUAUCGGAUUUGGAUCGGCCCGCGUUAGAUUAGGUAGUUGGUGGGGUAAUGGCCUACCAAGCCUACGAUCUAUAGCUGGUUUUAGAGGAUGAUCAGCAACACUGGGACUGAGACACGGCCCAGACUCCUACGGGAGGCAGCAGUGGGGAAUCUUAGACAAUGGGCGCAAGCCUGAUCUAGCCAUGCCGCGUGAGUGAUGAAGGCCUUAGGGUCGUAAAGCUCUUUCGCCUGUGAUGAUAAUGACAGUAGCAGGUAAAGAAACCCCGGCUAACUCCGUGCCAGCAGCCGCGGUAAUACGGAGGGGGUUAGCGUUGUUCGGAAUUACUGGGCGUAAAGCGCAC